AUUGAACGCUGGCGGCAUGCCUUACACAUGCAAGUCGAACGGUAACGGGCCUUCGGGUGCCGACGAGUGGCGAACGGGUGAGUAAUACAUCGGAACGUGCCCGAUCGUGGGGGAUAACGAGGCGAAAGCUUUGCUAAUACCGCAUACGAUCUACGGAUGAAAGCAGGGGACAGCAAGGCCUUGCGCGGACGGAGCGGCCGAUGGCAGAUUAGGUAGUUGGUGGGAUAAAAGCUUACCAAGCCGACGAUCUGUAGCUGGUCUGAGAGGAUGAUCAGCCACACUGGGACUGAGACACGGCCCAGACUCCUACGGGAGGCAGCAGUGGGGAAUUUUGGACAAUGGGCGCAAGCCUGAUCCAGCCAUGCCGCGUGCAGGAUGAAGGCCUUCGGGUUGUAAACUGCUUUUGUACGGAACGAAAAGCCUUCUUUUAAUACAGGAGGGUCAUGACGGUACCGUAAGAAUAAGCACCGGCUAACUACGUG
RNAcentral lists this ribosomal RNA (482 nucleotides) under uncultured bacterium. Its description in RNAcentral is "partial 16S ribosomal RNA". It matches the Rfam family "Bacterial small subunit ribosomal RNA", at positions 30 to 507 of the family's 1533-position model. The record is from RNAcentral.